RNAcentral lists this ribosomal RNA (520 nucleotides) under uncultured Glomus. RNAcentral describes it as "SSU rRNA". It matches the Rfam family "Eukaryotic small subunit ribosomal RNA", at positions 569 to 1093 of the family's 1831-position model. The record is from RNAcentral. Lineage: Eukaryota; Fungi; Glomeromycota; Glomeromycetes; Glomerales; Glomeraceae.
AGCAGCCGCGGUAAUUCCAGCUCCAAUAGCGUAUAUUAAAGUUGCUGCAGUUAAAAAGCUCGUAGUUGAAUUUCGGGACUGAUAUGUCGGUCGUGCCUCGGUACGUACUGGUAUUUUUGGUUUCUCCCUUCUGACGAACCUUGAUGUCAUUAAUUUGGUGUCUUGGGAAAUCAGGACUGUUACUUUGAAAAAAUUAGAGUGUUUAAAGCAGGCUCACGCUUGAAUACAUUAGCAUGGAAUAAUGAAAUAGGACGUUUGAUUCUAUUUUGUUGGUUUCUAGGAUUGACGUAAUGAUUAAUAGGGAUAGUUGGGGGCAUUAGUAUUCAAUUGUCAGAGGUGAAAUUCUUGGAUUUAUUGAAGACUAACUACUGCGAAAGCAUUUGCCAAGGAUGUUUUCAUUAAUCAAGAACGAAAGUUAGGGGAUCGAAGACGAUCAGAUACCGUCGUAGUCUUAACCAUAAACUAUGCCGGCUAGGGAUCGGAUGAUGUUAAUUUUUAAUGAUCAUUCGGCGCCUUACGG